UUAGGAAUUUUCCACAAUGGGCGAAAGCCUGAUGGAGCAACGCCGCGUGCAGGAGGAAGGCCUUCGGGUUGUAAACUGCUUUUAUAUGUGAAGAUUAUGACGGUAGCAUAUGAAUAAGGAUCGGCUAACUCCGUGCCAGCAGCCGCGGUCAUACGGAGGAUCCAAGCGUUAUCCGGAAUUACUGGGCGUAAAGAGUUGCGUAGGUGGUUAGUUAAGCAGGCUAUGAAAUCGUGUGGCUCAACCAUACACACAUAGUUUGAACUGGCUGACUAGAGAGCGAGAGAGGUAGCUGGAAUUCCUAGUGUAGGAGUAAAAUCCGUAGAUAUUAGGAGGAACACCGAUGGCGUAGGCAGGCUACUGGCUCGUUUCUGACACUAAGGCACGAAAGCGUGGGGAGCAAACGGG
Molecule: ribosomal RNA, 405 nt
Filed under: uncultured bacterium
Lineage: Bacteria
Description: bacterial SSU rRNA
Rfam family: Bacterial small subunit ribosomal RNA
Source: RNAcentral